RNAcentral lists this unclassified non-coding RNA (406 nucleotides) under soil metagenome. Its description in RNAcentral is "partial contains 5.8S ribosomal RNA, internal transcribed spacer 2, and large subunit ribosomal RNA". The stretch from base 1 to 122 matches the Rfam family "5.8S ribosomal RNA", at positions 35 to 154 of the family's 154-position model. The record is from RNAcentral.
GAUGAAGAACGCAGCGAAAUGCGAUAAGUAAUGCGAAUUGCAGAAUUCCAGUGAGUCAUCGAAUCUUUGAACGCACCUUGCGCCCUUUGGCCAUUCCGAAGGGCAUGCCUGUUUGAGUAUCAUGAACACCUCAACUCUUUAUGGUUUUCCAUGAUGAGCUUGGACUUUGGGGGUUUUGCUGGCCUAUGGUCGGCUCCUCUAAAAUAAAUCAGCUUACCAGUGUUUGGUGGGUAUCAUGGGUGUGAUAACUAUCUACGCUUGUGGUUUUUCCGCCAGGUAACCUUCGACAGCGGAGGUUCACUGGAGCUCAUAGAUGUCUCUCCUCAGCGAGGACAGCCCUUUGAAUGUUUGAUCUCAAAUCAGGUAGGACUACCCGCUGAACUUAAGCAUAUCAAUAAGCGGAGGA